Molecule: ribosomal RNA, 108 nt
Filed under: Agathobacter sp.
Lineage: Bacteria; Bacillati; Bacillota; Clostridia; Lachnospirales; Lachnospiraceae
Description: partial 23S ribosomal RNA
Rfam family: Bacterial large subunit ribosomal RNA
Source: RNAcentral
UCCUUCGGGAAGUAAGACCCCUUGAAGACUACAAGGUAGAUAGGGCAGAGGUGGAAGUGUAGUAAUACAUGGAGCUGACUGUUACUAAUAGGUCGAGGGCUUGACCAA